Molecule: ribosomal RNA, 460 nt
Filed under: uncultured bacterium
Lineage: Bacteria
Description: partial 16S ribosomal RNA
Rfam family: Bacterial small subunit ribosomal RNA
Source: RNAcentral
CCUACGGGAGGCUGCAGUGAGGAAUAUUGGUCAAUGGACGAGAGUCUGAACCAGCCAAGUAGCGUGAAGGAUGACUGCCCUAUGGGUUGUAAACUUCUUUUAUAUGGGAAUAAAAUGUUCCACGUGUGGGAUUUUGUAUGUACCAUAUGAAUAAGGAUCGGCUAACUCCGUGCCAGCAGCCGCGGUAAUACGGAGGAUCCGAGCGUUAUCCGGAUUUAUUGGGUUUAAAGGGAGCGUAGGUGGAUUGUUAAGUCAGUUGUGAAAGUUUGCGGCUCAACCGUAAAAUUGCAGUUGAAACUGGCAGUCGUGAGUACAGUAGAGGUGGGCGGAAUUCGUGGUGUAGCGGUGAAAUGCUUAGAUAGCACGAAGAACUCCGAUUGCGAAGGCAGCUCACUGGACUGCAACUGACACUGAGGCUCGAAAGUGUGGGUAUCAAACAGGAUUAGAUACCCCAGUAGUC